CUAAGCGGGAAACUCGCCUUAAGAUGAGACUUCCCAGAGACUAGAUCUCUUUAAAGGGUCGUUCGAGACCAGGACGUUGAUAGGCUGGGUGUGGAAGUGCAGUAAUGCAUUAAGCUAACCAGUACUAAUUGCCCGUAAGGCUUGUCCCU
This 149-nucleotide ribosomal RNA is filed under the name Cognatundibacterium luofuense. RNAcentral describes it as "Undibacterium luofuense Bacterial large subunit ribosomal RNA". It matches the Rfam family "Bacterial large subunit ribosomal RNA", at positions 2781 to 2925 of the family's 2925-position model. Lineage: Bacteria; Pseudomonadati; Pseudomonadota; Betaproteobacteria; Burkholderiales; Oxalobacteraceae. The record is from Rfam by way of RNAcentral.